GUACGCAGCUCUUACAAGGUCUCUCCUGAUUGGUUCGAUCAAACAAUCGAAAACAAUAGGUCGCUUAAAAUUCAAAAUGGCGGACGAUAAUCGUGAAGGGUAAACAGAUGCAAUCAUGAGUAGCGUUGGAGCGGUUUCAAAUGAACCUUGAGGGAACUUCUUUGUGCUGCGACAAUGGCCUCGUUUUGGUAAAAGUCCAUCAAAAAGUUAAACAAAAAGUGCAAACCAAAGUUUUGCGAACAAGUACUCCUCAACCUGGACUGGUUUUUCCUUGCAUUUUCAGAUUCCUGGGUACUUGUUGUUAUACAGUUGGCCUGCUGACAUAGGUUAAUGUCAUGGAAAAGACACAGUGGGGAUUUGUGAGGCUUGCUUGAUGCAUGAAAUCUGUCCUGUAGCACAAAUCUUCUGGUUGUUCCAGUGUAGGGAUGUUGUACAUCGUCACCAACUGUAUGACUUGUAGUGGACACAUGGUUAAUACUGGGGGCCAUUUUGUACUCUGCUGGCACAAGUUCUGGAAAAUUGUGGUCCUGUCAUUUAUAAGUUGAGAAGAACCGAUCUAAGUAUUUUUCAUGACUUUGUAUAUGGUGUCUCACAAAGCCACAUGGGGAGUCAUUAAUCAGGACAAUGGGCUUGUACUUGACAGAUAGAUAGAGAUCUGAAGCAUCCCGGACAGACUCUGACAGCACUAGUGUCUUUGAUGCCACAGUGCACUAUUGCAUAAAAUUUCAAAGAAAACAUUUUCAGUGAAUAAAAAAUCUGCAAAAUUGUCAUAGUAUCCGCGGGGUAUUCCAUGGCUUCGGAAGCCUGGACUGGACCGGCACACAUGUAGUCCAGCAUGGCGGCCAUGUUUCUUCCAUGUAGGAAUAAACUCCCAAAUACAUACUAUUUCAGAAAUGUAGGUUUGUGUUCGUGAGACAUUGAUGGUAUUUGGUGGUCUUGUUAAUCAGCUUGUCUUGGAUAUUUAAUCUAACCCUGAACAUAGAGAUUUGCCUUAUUAUAGUAUGCUAGCCAUAUACCCUGAUUAACAAAGGGGUUUGUUUUAUUAUGAACAGCAUAGCCUGAUUUACUGUAGCUUACCCCAUGCCUGCAAACCAUAUGGUAGAACCCUCCAGUUUUACCCUCCUUUUUGUUGUAUCCAUGACAUGGACAAAAUCCAUAUAAUAUUCCUUUAUAUAGUGCAUAUAUGUCUGAUCUCAUCUUUGCCUGAAAUGAAAUCAUAGUAAAGAUUUUUUACUUGCCAGAGUUUGAGAGGGGUUUACUUAGGUUGUGUCAUAUCUGAUAGUGUAAUUUUGUCUGAUAAUUGAUAAUUGAUAAUACAGAUAUAUUUAUUUGCUCUGUAUUCUCUAACCAUAAUUAAGAUGUUGACAUUUGAAUAAUUUAGUUGAGCCCAUCUUCUGACUUGUGUGUAUAUUUUCAAUUAAUAAAUGUUGACCACCUACAAGUA
Molecule: long non-coding RNA, 1444 nt
Filed under: Orbicella faveolata
Lineage: Eukaryota; Metazoa; Cnidaria; Anthozoa; Scleractinia; Merulinidae
Description: uncharacterized LOC110058192, transcript variant X2
Source: RNAcentral